Molecule: long non-coding RNA, 1270 nt
Organism: Arachis duranensis
Lineage: Eukaryota; Viridiplantae; Streptophyta; Magnoliopsida; Fabales; Fabaceae
Exons: 3
Source: RefSeq, a predicted model, not a curated record
UACCCGACCCACCUCUAUCCCAGUGGGGACGGGUUUAAAUCCGAUCCAAAGCGGGAGGAGUAUCAAACGGGGCGAGGUGCUGAGCAGGGUGGGAUCGGGUUCACCCCUUCCAUUCUAGAUAACCUCACCGCAGCUAACCCUCCCCUCAGACUGCAAGUCUCCAACGAAGUGAACGAACCCAGCCAAGCUCCACUCGCUAUUCACCUCGCCAUUCCACUCGCCGUCCCUCACUGCCGCCGUUCCGUCACUCACCUGGCCAUUCAACUCACGAAGCACACCACUACCGUCGCUCACCAACCCUCCUCACCGAGCUCACGUUGCUCCCACUUCUCUCGUUGCCGCCUCACCUCUCCGAUCUGCGGUCUCCGGUCGCUGCUCACCUUGUCGUCCCUCCUUCCUCCCUCGUCGUCUCACUACAGCAGUGCUUUGUCUUCUCACUAAUUAGAAGCAGAUCAUGGAGACUUCUCAAAUUUUCAAAUUUUUGAACCUGCCUCCUUUAUAUGUUCUUAUUUAUUCGGUGUGUAUAAAUAUAACAAGUGUACUUUUAGGGGUGGACUUUUUCAAAUUGGGAGUGGAGGCUAGAUGGACAUUAUACAUUGGGGAUGUAGCAAUAUCUAAGGAGGAGAUUUGGAUUGGGAAUUACCAUUUUGAUUGGAUAGAGGGCAAAUAGGCAUUUUUAUGAGAUAAGGGUGUUAAAUAUUUCGAAUUCAAAACACAUAGGGAAUUGAUUUAGAUGAUGUUUUGGGAUAGGUGGUGUUAAGACUAGAAAAUUUUGUUUGUAGGGAUAAGCUUUUUAUUUUGGAAUGUUUGGUGCAUUAAUUCUUCUGAUGCAAAAGCCUAUCAUCUUUGGAGUGGAGGCCAGGAGGGUUCCUUCUCCUAGCGACGGCAGAGAAUCGAUAACAGCGAUUGUGUACCACAAAUCGAGCAGAGCGUAAAGGAAGACGCGCCGGCAUAACAAGUGAAGAAGGAAUUUGCAUCAAUGAUGGAGUGGCAUAGUAAGAUCGGUAUCAAAUCCGUCGUGAGUGGCUUGGAGGUUUCACAAAUAAAGUAAGAGCCUUGGUAAACACAUUUGAAAUUUCCUUUUGAACAUGCUAUGUUAAUGGGGUUCAAUAUAAAUGUAAUGGAAGAAGGAAUACUGUGGAUACAAGACAUUCAUUACUGGGAAGCAUUGUGGGCAAAAAGUGGGGGUUUCAAGGGAAAUGAGACAUUCAUUUACUCCAUUUUUUCGAUGGAAGUAUUUUGGUUGUGCCAAGAGACGAGAAAUUUUCAG